UAUAUAUAUAUGAUUAGUAUUUAAGCAUGAAUCCCCAUCUUACAAAGGAAAAAAUCAUAGUACAUUCACAUAUCUUAUCAAGAACACAAGGAUGCCUACGAUUCACUCCCAUGGCUAAAUGUAAUAUGGGUUAAUGAAAACUCAGGAAAUGACUACAAAAAAUAUAUGCUCCUCCACUGAGAACGGUAGAGUGCAUGGAGGAUAAAUUUGCAAAGACAUGAUAAUAUUAUUCACUGUCACAAAAACACAUAAAAUGAAGCAACAAAAAAGGAUAAUUUAUGAGUUUCACCCCGGCAUAGAUUCUUCAUUAAUACUUGCAGCACCUCAAUAAUAAAAAUUUAGGAGGUAAAAUAGAAGUUGAAGGCAUGAUCACAACCUAAAAUAGAUGACACAAUAAUCAAUAAAAAUAUUUAGUUUGAGGUUCAACACUUCAAUGAUGCAUUAACUGAAUAAAUGUUUCUGGAAGCAGACCAUACCUCAAGGUAAAGAUGAAUGUUCUGGUACUUGGAUUCAAGAAGAUGCAUACUUAAACUGGAAGCACUUCCAAAACUUCCUUCGGUGUCUUCUUUGUAUCAUUAUGUAGCAUGACUGUCUACUUUAUUAGCCUAACAGAACUGCUUAAGUUGGCUGAGUAACAUGCACAUAAAUAAAUCAGAAAAAGAAUAAGUAUUAUUAGGAGAUGAGCAAUGUGUCGUAAAAAGAAAAGAUAUAUAGCUCCUGAGCAGACGUCUCUUUUUUACUUCACUCCAAAUAGCUGCACACCAUAUUUGAAGAAUGUAACACUCCCUCCGAUUCAGCUUAAUUGAUGCUGAGUUAAUUAAUUCGGAUCAGAGGGAGUAUGAGUUUAUAUCUAAACAAAUAGGGAAACUUCAGGUGAGAUUGUUUCAUUCUAAAAUAAAGGUAGAAGCAUAUUUCCAUGAGGUGAACACACACAACUCUCAAGCAAGUGCAUAUUAUUCUCUAAUAAAUGGUAUUUAUUUCCUAAGGUUUUUUGGUUUCUUUAAUAUUGUUGCUUAUGGUGAUCUCUUCCCCUACCAAUUUUCUCUCUUAAUUGUUGGUCCCGUUGUCCUAAUGUCAAUAUUUUAUCUCGUUCAGAACCAGCUUGUAUAGAAAGGUAAUCAAGGUACAGUAUAGGAGAAGUCAAACGUGUUCCCCGAAGAUGUAAUGUACAUGAGUUUGGAUUAACAGAGCCGACAACAAGGAGAAGCAGUUACAACAAACGAAACACAAGUUGAAAGCAUCCAGGCUGCUUUAUACAAACAAGUCACAUAACCUGAACUCAACUCCAAUCUCUGACCAGAACUGUUGGUGUGCGCUUAAAUUUUUAGAAGUCAUGAACUUGAGCUCUUGAAGGACCAAAACAUUGGGCUCGACGCUGACCUGAAUCAUAUGUGUGUUAGACACAACAGUGCGUAGAUUACAUACAUUACCUAUCCACUUAAUCCGCAACACAGUCUGAUAGCAAUCAAGCUAUUUUCUCUAGUAAUACAGUAUACGACAAAUCGUUUUCAGGUUCAGGCAUCAACCCAGUAGAAGCUUUUUAAGGUUCAGACAAAUUUGCAAGAUAAUAGUGAAGAAGAAAGUAAGACAAGUAGUUGCACGAUAAGGAUUUGUAGCAUGCGCCCCAAUGCCGGUUUCAACAUGUGGUCCACCGACCUAUGGACUGAACAAAAGAACAUCGUGCCUACAACAAUAUGGAGCUAACGUAUACUAAAUAAUACGGUGUUGAUCAAACAUUGGUACGGGUACAAAAAGCAUGCACGACUAAAAGCUAAUUUGGAAAAGGCAUGACCAGAAAAGUAGGAACCACAAGACUAUGUGCGAAAAUUCAUCUCAAUUGCAGUGGAGCUUGAACAAGAGUUCCUGGGGGUAAAAGAGAAGUGAAAAGAAAUGUUUUUAGAGGUUAAUAGCUGGACCAAUAAUAACUUGGAAAAGGAAAAUUAAUCAAACUUCAAUAGCAAGACUAUUAAUCUAUACUUGGACUGCAGUUGCCAAUGUAAACGAACCUCUUCAAAAAGUGAAAGCUGCUCUUUCUAAGACACAUGAAAACUCAAGAAUUCAAAUGAAACCAAUGUGCUACCUGUGUAGCUAUAUGAGCAGAUGGGUAUUUUGCUACAGGAGCAGUGUUCUUGAAAAGCCAAUGGUCAGUACCUUGUUAUAUGAACUAAAAAUAAUACGUUGAGUUGCAAAUGUUUGAAAUCAAGGCCUGAGAGUCGCAACUCGCAAGGAGAAGAAGCAUUUGUAAAAUCGUAUUGUCCUAAAUGCAGGCAAUUGUCUGAUGUGUUUUCCUUUUCUUAAACGGAUUACUGAACAGAGAUACCAAUUGUCUUAAAUGUGACAGAUAGUAUGAAGCUUGACACUAUUAAUGCAGGUAGGAUUUCUAUGCUUACCCUGACGCAUAACUCCUAAGGUUUGAAACGGAGCAGCGACGUGCUC
RNAcentral lists this long non-coding RNA (2436 nucleotides) under Triticum aestivum (bread wheat). Its description in RNAcentral is "long non-coding RNA (TAES_LNC014230)". Lineage: Eukaryota; Viridiplantae; Streptophyta; Magnoliopsida; Poales; Poaceae. The record is from RNAcentral.